GCGGAGAGGUGGCCCGUGGGCCCUCGUCGCUUCCUACCUCUUCUCCCUGUUCCCGUUCCCCAAUCGGCUUAAAUGCGCACCAAAACCAAAUCCAAUCCUCGAUCGGCCGCGUGCACGGCAUGGCGUCUCCGCCGCCGGAUCUACUAAUCGACGACGCCACCGCCGAGAUUCUCCUUCGCCUCCCACCGGAUGACCCAGCGUGCCUCGUGCGCGCCUCCCUUGUCUGCAAGGCUUGGCGGGAGCUCCUCUCUAGCCCCAUCUUCCUCCGCCGCUACCGCAGAUUCCACGGCGCGCCGCCCCUGCUUGGCUUCCUCUACAACAUCUACGACGAACGCCCCUGUGCUCGAUUCGUCGUCGCCGCCGACGCCGCCACCACCUUCCCCUUCUCUGCACCGGCGUUCGACCAAUUCGAUUUGUGGUUCAUCGAGUGCCGCCACGGGCGCGCGCUGCUACAAACUUUCGAGCGGCAUGCGCCCGCGCGCCUCGUCGUCUGGGACCUCAUCACGGGCGACCAGCAGCACAUACCAAUGCCCGUGCCCGGGUACCCUUACUUCUGCCGCACCGCAGCUGUUCUCUGCGCCGCGGAUGGCUGCGAUCAUCUUGACUGCCACGGGGGCCCAUACCUCGUCGUCGUCAUAGGCGCCUACGAAGAAGAUACUCUCAGGUGGGCGAGCGUCUACUCAUCGGAGACUGGCGUAUGGACUACGUCAUCCUCCAUUCAAAUUGAUGCCUACGUCGAGCAAAGGCCCAGCCUCCUUGCCGGUGACGCGCUCUACUUUAGCGCACAGGAAGGCAAAAUAAUUGUCAAAUACGACCUCAAUGGACAGAGCCUACAUGUGAUCAAUGCGCCGGAUAUGUUUGAGCCAACAGAGGGCAUUGCUGUGACCGUGGAGGACGGUGGUUUGGGACUCGCCGGAGUGAAGGAUGGCAACCUCCACCUGUGGUCAUGGCAGGCUGGUCCUGGCGGCAUUGCGGAAUGGGUGCAAGGCAGAAUCGUAAAGUUGAGGACGCUCUUCCCUAUUCUUAAACCGCUGGACUCACUUGAUGUGAUUGGCUUCCAAGAGGGCACAGAUACCAUUUUCAUUAGCAUAGAUAUGGAGGUCUUUGCAGUCACGCUCAGAUCGGAGCAGGUGAAGAAGGUAGGCAAGACGGGCUCCAAAUAUGCCAUGGCACCCUAUGUGAGCUUCUACACUCCAGAUCUUGCAAAGGGCAGAUUGCUAUCACCAUGAAGAUGCAGUGAUCCAUCCAUUAACAUGGCCGUGACACUAUUGACUUCUUAAGGAGAUGAUGAGUUAAAGUGUUUUUCCAGUUUGGACGGUUAUGGAAAAAAAGCAAGUUACCAUGUUCAUUCAGAAAAGUUUAGUUUCUUACCUGUGCAGUUUAAGUAAGGAACUGUAAGAACAGGAUAUCAUCGUCAAAAUGUCUAGUCUAUUAGUUAAGCUGUUUAAGGGAUUGGUUUGUUUUAUUGUGGCCUUUUCGCUAUUGUUAUUUUAUAAGGGAUGCCCUGUGUCUAUAGAAAGUGAGGCUUUCUCCAGCAAAUCGUGCAUAUAGCCGUGCAAAACACUGUUUUGCACUGUAGAUAGCACUAUUUGCAGAGUGGAGUUGAAAUAGGUGGUGGGAUAGGUAAUGAGAUAUGAGAGCUGCUGGAGAUAGCCUAACUAGAAGAACUGCACAACUCUAGUCUGAGCAGCUUAUAAAAUAGCAAUAGAUAGCAAUCAGUACCGAUCGGUUUAGCUCCGAUGUCGGUCGGUUCGACCGGCCAGUACUGAUCCAUGCACUGGAGAAUCAGUUGGUACCGACCCUUACCGGUGAGUACCGACCACAUGUUGCACGUGCCAUAUCCUGAUUGUUUCACACCUUUUUGACUGUUUGAAGUUCGAAACAUUUCAAAAAAUAUAUAUAAAUUUUCUAAAAACAACUGGCUCACUUGAUGUGAUUGGCUUCCAAGAGGGCACAUAUACCAUUUUCAUUAGCAUAGAUAUGGAAGUCUUCGCAGUCAUGCUCAGAUCGGAGCAGGUGAAGACGGUAGGCAAGACAGGCUCCAAAUAUGCCAUGGCACCCUAUGUGAGCUUCUACACUCCAGAUCGUGCAAAGGGAUUUCUAUCACCAUGAAGAUGCAGUGAUCCAUCCAUUAACGUGACCGUGGUACUAUUGACUUUUUAAAGGAGGUGAUGAGUUAAGGCCCUCCGCACUCAUACUAAUAUAAAUUUCUACCCUAAAAAGAAUAUUCUGUCCUAGUCAGCAAAAUUCUUUAAUCUAUACCACAAUUCUCCGCACACAUGUUUACUCUAUAUCUCAACCCUAUACUAAUUAUCAUAUAUAAUUUUAUUUCUUCCCAA
Molecule: RNA transcript, 2339 nt
Organism: Zea mays
Lineage: Eukaryota; Viridiplantae; Streptophyta; Magnoliopsida; Poales; Poaceae
Exons: 3
Source: RefSeq, marked predicted